This 391-nucleotide ribosomal RNA is filed under the name uncultured bacterium. RNAcentral's name for it is "partial 16S ribosomal RNA". It matches the Rfam family "Bacterial small subunit ribosomal RNA", at positions 524 to 918 of the family's 1533-position model. The record is from RNAcentral.
UACGGAGGAUCCGAGCGUUAUCCGGAUUUAUUGGGUUUAAAGGGUGCGCAGGCGGCCAUUUAAGUCAGCGGUUAAAUCGUGGGGCUCAACCCCAUUCUGCCGUUGAUACUGGGUGGCUUGAUUGCGGUCGAGGUUGGCGGAAUUCGUUGUGUAGCGGUGAAAUGCAUAGAUAUGACGAAGAACACCGAUUGCGUAGGUAGCUGACCAGACCGCAAAUGACGCGCAUGCACGAAAGGGCGGGGAUCGAACAGGAUUAGAUACCCUGGUCGUCCGCACAGUAAACGAUGAAUACUUGAUUUCGGCGAUAUAAUGUCGGAGGCAAAGCGAAAGCGAUAAGUAUUCCACCUGGGGAGUACGCCAGCAACGGUGAAACUCAAAGGAAUUGACGGGG